Molecule: ribosomal RNA, 446 nt
Filed under: uncultured bacterium
Lineage: Bacteria
Description: partial 16S ribosomal RNA
Rfam family: Bacterial small subunit ribosomal RNA
Source: RNAcentral
CCUACGGGGGGCAGCAGUCGAGAAUCAUUCACAAUGGGGGAAACCCUGAUGGUGCGACGCCGCGUGGGGGAAUGAAGGUCUUCGGAUUGUAAACCCCUGUCAUGUGGGAGCAAAUUAAAAAGAUAGUACCACAAGAGGAAGAGACGGCUAACUCUGUGCCAGCAGCCGCGGUAAUACAGAGGUCUCAAGCGUUGUUCGGAAUCACUGGGCGUAAAGCGUGCGUAGGCUGUUUCGUAAGUCGUGUGUGAAAGGCGCGGGCUCAACCCGCGGACGGCACAUGAUACUGCGAGACUAGAGUAAAGGAGGGGGAACCGGAAUUCUCGGUGUAGCAGUGAAAUGCGUAGAUAUCGAGAGGAACACUCGUGGCGAAGGCGGGUUCCUGGACAUUAACUGACGCUGAGGCACGAAGGCCAGGGGAGCGAAAGGGUUUAGAUACCCGGGUAGUC